RNAcentral lists this ribosomal RNA (1509 nucleotides) under Trichopodus microlepis (moonlight gourami). RNAcentral describes it as "partial 16S ribosomal RNA". It matches the Rfam family "Bacterial large subunit ribosomal RNA", at positions 181 to 2597 of the family's 2925-position model. Lineage: Eukaryota; Metazoa; Chordata; Actinopteri; Anabantiformes; Osphronemidae. The record is from RNAcentral.
UUUACCCAACAGCUAGCCCCUAAUCUAAAUACAACAACUCAAUAUCAAUACCCCCUAAAAUACGUAAUCCUAAUAAACAAACCAUUUUUCCCCCUUAGUAUGGGCGACAGAAAAGGGAAUAUAGGAGCUAUAGAAAAAGUACCGCAAGGGAAUGCUGAAAGAGAAGUGAAACAAAUCAGUAAAGUAUUGAAAAGCAGAGAUUAAAUCUCGUACCUUUUGCAUCAUGUUUUAGCUAGAAAAUUACAAGCAAAGAGUACUUUAGUUUGCUUCCCCGAAACUAAGUGAGCUACUCCAAGGCAGCCUAAUAAAUAGGGCCAACCCGUCUCUGUGGCAAAAGAGUGGGACGAACUUAGAGUAGAGGUGACAGACCUACCGAACUUAGUUAUAGCUGGUUGCUUGAGAACUGAAUAGAAGUUCAGCCUCUUGGUUUCUUAAUUCCAACAGCAACUGCUCAUUCCGAUGCACUAAGAAACCAAGAGAGUUAGUUAAAGGGGGUACAGCCCCUUUAAAUCAAGAUACAACUUUCCUAGAUGGAUAAAGAUCAUAAUAAUUAAGGUAAAAUAUUCUAGUGGGCCUAAAAGCAGCCAUCUAAAAGAAAGCGUUAAAGCUCAGAUAUUUCGCACAGCCUUUGAUUUCGAUAAUAUUGUCUCACUCCCCUUAUAUGUAUCAAGCCUCCCCAUGCUAACAUGGGGGUGACCAUGCUAAUAUGAGUAAUAAGAAAGAACGACUUUCUCCUUGCACAUGUGUAACUCAGAACGGACCUUCCACCGAAUAUUACCGGCCCCAAACAAAGAGGGUAAUGAACAAUAAAUAAACAACUAGAAAAUCACCCAACAACCAACCGUUAACCCCACACAGGUGUGCCCCCAAGGAAAGACUAAAAGAAAAAGAAGGAACUCGGCAAACACUAAGCCUCGCCUGUUUACCAAAAACAUCGCCUCUUGCAAAAAUAAAGAAUAAGAGGUCCCGCCUGCCCUGUGACAAGAAGUUUAACGGCCGCGGUAUUUUGACCGUGCAAAGGUAGCGCAAUCACUUGUCUUUUAAAUGAAGACCUGUAUGAAUGGCAUAACGAGGGCUUUACUGUCUCCUUUUUCAAGUCAAUGAAAUUGAUCUCCCCGUGCAGAAGCGGGGAUACAGCCAUAAGACGAGAAGACCCUAUGGAGCUUUAGACACCAAGACAGAUCUUGUUAAGUAUACUCAAAUAAAAGACUAAACCAAAAGAAGCCUGUCCUAAUGUCUUUGGUUGGGGCGACCGCGGGGAAACAAAAAACCCCCAUGUGGACUGAGUACACCCUUACUCAAAACCAAGAGCCACAGCUCUAAUUAACAGAAAUUCUGACCUUAAGAUCCGGCAAUGCCGAUCAACGGACCGAGUUACCCUAGGGAUAACAGCGCAAUCCUCUUUUAGAGCCCAUAUCGACAAGGGGGUUUACGACCUCGAUGUUGGAUCAGGACAUCCUAAUGGUGCAGCCGCUAUUAAGGGUUCGUUUGUUCAACGAUUAAAGUCCU